This 288-nucleotide long non-coding RNA is filed under the name Bos taurus (domestic cattle). Its description in RNAcentral is "long non-coding RNA NONBTAT005747". The record is from RNAcentral. Lineage: Eukaryota; Metazoa; Chordata; Mammalia; Artiodactyla; Bovidae.
CAACUAAAGCGUGGAAUACCAGAAUGUGAUGGCUGGCACCAUGGGAGAUUGAUGACAAAUCAGAAAAAAAAAUGUAAGGUGGCUUUUAUUACCCCCGUUUUAUAGGUUAAAACUCUAAAUUUUGUGCCCAGGGUAAUGCAGCAAACUUGGAGAAGCAGCCAGUGAAGCUGUUUUCCAAUCAGGACUCUGGCUCUAACCAUCAGCUUCUAGUUUUUUCCCUCACCUGCGUGUUCAGACACCUAAGGCCCCAACCAAAGUGCCUAGGACAUUAAUAACAGGUGGAGGAGC